GUACUGUACGAAUAAGCAUCGGCUAACUCCGUGCCAGCAGCCGCGGUAAUACGGAGGAUGCAAGCGUUAUCCGGAUUUAUUGGGUUUAAAGGGUGCGUAGGCGGGGUAGCAAGUCAGUGGUGAAAGUCUGCAGCUUAACUGUAGAAUUGCCGUUGAUACUGUUACUCUUGAAUUCAGUUGAGGUAGGCGGAAUGUGUAAUGUAGCGGUGAAAUGCAUAGAUAUUACACAGAACACCGAUUGCGUAGGCAGCUUGCUAAACUGAGAUUGACGCUGAGGCACGAAAGCGUGGGGAGCAAACAGGAUUAGAUACCCUGGUAGUCCACGCCGUAAACGAUGAUUACUGGAUGUGUGCGAUACACUGUACGCGUCUGAGCGAAAGCAUUAAGUAAUCCACCUGGGGAGUACGAUCGCAAGAUUGAAACUCAAAGGAAUUGACGGGGGCCCGCACAAGCGGAGGAACAUGUGGUUUAAUUCGAUGAUACGCGAGGAACCUUACCUGGGCUUAAAUGCAGAUUGACUUACCGGGAAACUGGUAUUCCCUUCGGGGCAAUUUGCAAGGUGCUGCAUGGUUGUCGUCAGCUCGUGCCGUGAGGUGUCGGGUUAAGUCCCAUAACGAGCGCAACCCCUAUUGUUAGUUGCCAGCGGUUAAAGCCGGGGACUCUAACGAAACUGCCAGUGUAAACUGUGAGGAAGGUGGGGAUGACGUCAAAUCAGCACGGCCCUUACGUCCAGGGCUACACACGUGUUACAAUGGUCGGUACAGAGGGCAGCUACCUGGUGACAGGAUGCUAAUCCCGAAAGCCGGUCUUAGUUCGGAUCGAAGUCUGCAACUCGACUUCGUGAAGCUGGAUUCGCUAGUAAUCGCGCAUCAGCCAUGGCGCGGUGAAUACGUUCCCGGGCCUUGUACACACCGCCCGUCAAGCCAUGGAAGCCGGGGGUGCCUGAAGUCCGUAACCGCGAGGAUCGGCCUAGGGUAAAACUGGUGACUGGGGCUAAGUCGUAACAAGGUAGCCGUACCGGAAGGUGUGGCUG
Molecule: ribosomal RNA, 1033 nt
Filed under: Bacteroidota bacterium
Lineage: Bacteria; Pseudomonadati; Bacteroidota
Description: bacterial SSU rRNA
Rfam family: Bacterial small subunit ribosomal RNA
Source: RNAcentral